UAGGGAAUCUUCGGCAAUGGGGGGAACCCUGACCGAGCAACGCCGCGUGAGUGAAGAAGGUUUUCGGAUCGUAAAGCUCUGUUGUUAAGGAAGAACGAGUGUGAGAAUGGAAAGUUCAUACUGUGACGGUACUUAACCAGAAAGGGACGGCUAACUACGUGCCAGCAGCCGCGGUAAUACGUAGGUGGCAAGCGUUAUCCGGAUUUAUUGGGCGUAAAGAGAGUGCAGGCGGUUUUCUAAGUCUGAUGUGAAAGCCUUCGGCUUAACCGGAGAAGUGCAUCGGAAACUGGAUAACUUGAGUGCAGAAGAGGGUAGUGGAACUCCAUGUGUAGCGGUGGAAUGCGUAGAUAUAUGGAAGAACACCAGUGGCGAAGGCGGCUACCUGGUCUGCAACUGACGCUGAGACUCGAAAGCAUGGGUAGCGAACAGGAUUAGAUACCCUGGUAGUCCAUGCCGUAAACGAUGAGUGCUAGGUGUUGGAGGGUUUCCGCCCUUCAGUGCCGGAGCUAACGCAUUAAGCACUCCGCCUGGGGAGUACGACCGCAAGGUUG
RNAcentral lists this ribosomal RNA (551 nucleotides) under uncultured bacterium. RNAcentral describes it as "bacterial SSU rRNA". It matches the Rfam family "Bacterial small subunit ribosomal RNA", at positions 355 to 896 of the family's 1533-position model. The record is from RNAcentral.